This 383-nucleotide ribosomal RNA is filed under the name uncultured eukaryote. RNAcentral describes it as "partial 18S ribosomal RNA". It matches the Rfam family "Eukaryotic small subunit ribosomal RNA", at positions 592 to 976 of the family's 1831-position model. The record is from RNAcentral.
CAAUAGCGUAUAUUAAAGUUGUUGCAGUUAAAAAGCUCGUAGUUGGAUUUCUGGUAGGAGUGACCGUUCCGAACUUGAUUGUUCGUGUAUUGUGUUUUCUCCAGCCAUCCUUGUGGAGAACUUUUCUUGCAUUAAUUUGUAGGGAUUGGGACCCGCAUCGUUUACUGUGAAAAAAUUAGAGUGUUUAAAGCAGGCAAUCGCUUGAAUACAUUAGCAUGGAAUAAUAAGAUAGGACUUUGGUACUAUUUUGUUGGUUUGCAUACCAAAUUAAUGAUCAACAGGAACAGUUUGAGGAUAUUCGUAUGAACAUGUCAGAGGUGAAAUUCUUGGAUUUUGAUCAGACGAACUACUGCGAAANCANNNAUCAAGGAUGUUUUCAUNAA